UUUUUAGCGGCGGACGGGUGAGUAACGUGUGGGUAACCUGCCUUUUACUGGGGAAUAAUCACUGGAAACGGUGACUAAUACCGCAUACGGUUCUUGGAAGGCAUCUUCUGAGAAAGAAAGGAUUUAUUCGGUAAAAGAUGGGCCCGCAUCUGAUUAGCUAGUUGGUGAGAUAACAGCCCACCAAGGCGACGAUCAGUAGCCGACCUGAGAGGGUGACCGGCCACAUUGGGACUGAGACACGGCCCAAACUCCUACGGAAGGCAGCAG
RNAcentral lists this ribosomal RNA (267 nucleotides) under uncultured bacterium. Its description in RNAcentral is "partial 16S ribosomal RNA". It matches the Rfam family "Bacterial small subunit ribosomal RNA", at positions 89 to 354 of the family's 1533-position model. The record is from RNAcentral.